CAUGGAGGGUGAGAAUCCCGUCUGUGAUCCGAUCGGUUUCAGUACGAUAACGUUUCUAAGAGUCGAGUUGUUUGGGACUGCAGCUCAAAUUGGGUGGUAAAUUCCAUCUAAGGCUAAAUAUAGGCGAGAGACCGAUAGCGAACAAGUACCGUGAGGGAAAGAUGAAGAGAACUUUGAAAAGAGAGUUAAACAGUACGUGAAAUUGUUGAAAGGGAAACGAUUGAAGCCAGUCUUACCGACGGAAAAUCAAUUUCUCGGGUGCUUAUCAUGGGUGACGUUGAGCCUCACGGUCUUCGUUGCUUGUGUUAUUGGUACCUUUGUUGUGCACUUUUUCGUAUGGUAGGUCAACAUCGAUUUCGAUCGUCAUAAAAUGAUUGGAGGAAUGUAGCUUUGAUUUCGAUCGAAGUGUUAUAGCCUUUGGUAAAUGUGACAAUUGGGAUCGAGGAUUGCAACGAGUACCCUUUGGGCUAUCCGUCUGGCCUCUGAAAGUCGCUUGAGUGUCGAAAGCGUGCUUAUGGCAUACAAGUUGACGGUCAAUACGUUAGAACGCGAUUACAUUCGUUAAGGAUGUUGACGUAAUGG
RNAcentral lists this ribosomal RNA (582 nucleotides) under uncultured Glomeromycotina. Its description in RNAcentral is "partial large subunit ribosomal RNA". It matches the Rfam family "Eukaryotic large subunit ribosomal RNA", at positions 204 to 637 of the family's 3401-position model. The record is from RNAcentral. Lineage: Eukaryota; Fungi; Glomeromycota.